CAACUCUAGCUUCUCCGACGUCGGCGGAAUUCUGCAUCAACAGAAUUGGCGCUAGAGGAAGGGUCUUUUGUCUUCGCAGUACCCUUGUUCUUAAAGGAGUGCUCAACGGGACUGUCUUCGAUCACCUUCUUCGAUAUCUACUUCUCCUUCUCCUGCCAGAUCUCUACCUGAUGCCUCCUCGAAAGGCAUCCACCAGGCGAUCCACGAUCUCCGCGGUC
This 218-nucleotide long non-coding RNA is filed under the name Elaeis guineensis (African oil palm). RNAcentral's name for it is "long non-coding RNA (EGUI_LNC016913)". Lineage: Eukaryota; Viridiplantae; Streptophyta; Magnoliopsida; Arecales; Arecaceae. The record is from RNAcentral.